Armigeres subalbatus is the source of this 820-nucleotide long non-coding RNA. RefSeq lists it as uncharacterized. NCBI's taxonomy places the organism in Eukaryota, Metazoa, Arthropoda, Insecta, Diptera, Culicidae. The transcript has 3 exons. The record is from RefSeq and is a predicted model, not a curated record.
UUCAAAUAGUAUUUAAUUCCGAUGGGACCCAAGAAGGAGAACAUUCAGAUUGUGCAUAUAGCAUACGCGUGAAGUUACUGAUUGCAAAAAUGCAGCAGAACAAGAUCCGGCGGAUUUUUUACGAUCAGUCAAAUUAGUAUUUCAUCACGACAACAUACUCCGCGUCGGAACCGGUUGAACCUGCUGGUCCAGCAUUCAGGGCGAGCAUACCACAACCAAACAUGUACUGAAGGAUGUCCGGUUGAAGAAUUGAACUGCGGAAGAUACGGGAGGAAUCCGGUGGUAAUAUUUCUCGCAAGAGCAGCACCGAAACGGAGUGCAACUUGAAUUUCCUCAACCCGGAUUCAAAAGGUUAUUCGGUUAUUCGCUAUUCGGUGCCGGUUGAUCAUCGGAUGCUGCUGCAGAACGGACCGCCGUUGAGGCCGAAAGAUAUCAUUGGUCAAGGUUCCACCCAUAACAAAGAAAGAAUAUGUCGCCGCUAUGAAGGUCUUCGCUAGAGAUUCGUGCAUCCUCCGAUCGCCACAUCGACGUGGGCGAAGUGAAUGUUUUUAUGUAUUUUGACAUCAGCUAGAAUUCCGCAGAUAUGUGUAGCGCAUUGGUCGAACCGAAAGGCAGCCGAUUGGAAAGGAUCUGAUGUUGUUCACCGAGGGAUAAGAGGCGCUUCGAGAUAGCGAAGAACUAAUUUUGCGCCAACUGCAAUGGGCCAAUAUGGAGGGAAUUUGUUCCAACUUGUUCUAGCGCAUCGCAGCCACCACGAAAAAGCGGCUCUUGAGGCUUUCAAGUACCUGAUCGAGACGAUAAAAAGAAAGUGAUCUUUACA